GAAAACGCUGGCUCGUCUUGUAUAUAACAACUGUCUACAGAUUACAUUAACAAAUAAAGGGCAACCAUGGCAUCCAUGACAGAGACAUGAAGUGAUGUAUAGUUUCUUGGAGUACAGAACACCUUGAGCGUGAACUAUGCGAAAACAUACAGAGUCAACAAAGUCGACAGACCUACAUAUUUUCGGGUUUGCAGUGCAACAACUAUUUUAAGACCUGACGUGACACUGUUCAUCCAGCUGCUGCACAGCUGAAUUGUGCCACCACUGUCACCUCUUCAUUCGCCUAACAAAGAAUGCAUUUAUCCAUGCUGUUUAGAGAAGUCCAUACUAGUCCUUGGCCCCAGCAGAUGUCACCACUACAAGACAUUUGAAGAAGCUACCAGACACACCAGGGAGAGAUGGGGAGGAUGUGUACAUCUGUCGCCAAGGAUGGACACAUCUUUCCUGUCUCUCCUCCUCUCAGUCAUGAUCAUCAGAGGCCUCCAUCCAGUUUCUACCCAUAAGGGAACAUUUACUAUGAAAUAUAAUUAAACAUUAAGUAAACAUUUUACUGUUUAGAAUGUAAUGGUAUGUUCA
Molecule: long non-coding RNA, 576 nt
Organism: Esox lucius (northern pike)
Lineage: Eukaryota; Metazoa; Chordata; Actinopteri; Esociformes; Esocidae
Exons: 3
Source: RefSeq, a predicted model, not a curated record